RNAcentral lists this ribosomal RNA (253 nucleotides) under uncultured bacterium. RNAcentral describes it as "partial 16S ribosomal RNA". It matches the Rfam family "Bacterial small subunit ribosomal RNA", at positions 524 to 776 of the family's 1533-position model. The record is from RNAcentral.
UACAGAGGUCUCAAGCGUUGUUCGGAUUCAUUGGGCGUAAAGGGUGCGUAGGCGGCUCGGUAAGUCGGGUGUGAAAUCUCGGAGCUUAACUCCGAAACUGCAUUCGAUACUGCCGUGCUUGAGGACUGGAGAGGAGACUGGAAUUUACGGUGUAGCGGUGAAAUGCGUAGAUAUCGUAAGGAGGACCAGUGGCGAAGGCGGGUCUCUGGACAGUGCCUGACGCUGAGGCACGAAGGCCAGGGGAGCAAACGGG